Molecule: ribosomal RNA, 496 nt
Filed under: uncultured bacterium
Lineage: Bacteria
Description: partial 16S ribosomal RNA
Rfam family: Bacterial small subunit ribosomal RNA
Source: RNAcentral
GAUGAACGCUGGCGGCGUGCCUAAUACAUGCAAGUCGAGCGAACAGACGAGGAGCUUGCUCCUCUGACGUUAGCGGCGGACGGGUGAGUAACACGUGGAUAACCUACCUAUAAGACUGGGAUAACUUCGGGAAACCGGAGCUAAUACCGGAUAAUAUAUUGAACCGCAUGGUUCAAUAGUGAAAGACGGUUUUGCUGUCAUUUAUAGAUGGAUCCGCGCCGCAUUAGCUAGUUGGUAAGGUAACGGCUUACCAAGGCAACGAUGCGUAGCCGACCUGAGAGGGUGAUCGGCCACACUGGAACUGAGACACGGUCCAGACUCCUACGGGAGGCAGCAGUAGGGAAUCUUCCGCAAUGGGCGAAAGCCUGACGGAGCAACGCCGCGUGAGUGAUGAAGGUCUUCGGAUCGUAAAACUCUGUUAUUAGGGAAGAACAAAUGUGUAAGUAACUAUGCACGUCUUGACGGUACCUAAGCAGAAAGCCACGGCUAACUACGU